AUCUGAGUUUGACCAAAGGCUUCUGCCGGUAAGGGAUGGGGAUGCGUACGAUUAGGUAGACGGCGGGGUAACGGCCCACCGUGCCAACGAUCGUUAGGGGUUCUGAGAGGAAGGUCCCCCACACUGGUACUGAGACACGGACCAGACUCCUACGGGAGGCAGCAGUGAGGAAUAUUGGUCAAUGGCCGAGAGGCUGAACCAGCCAAGUAGCGUGCAGGAUGACUGCCCUAUGGGUUGUAAACUGCUUUUAUGCGGGGAUAAAGUUCAGCACGUGUGCUGUUUUGUAGGUACCGCAUGAAUAAGGACCGGCUAAUUCCGUGCCAGCAGCCGCGGUAAUACGGAAGGUCCGGGCGUUAUCCGGAUUUAUUGGGUUUAAAGGGAGCGCAGGCGGGAGGUUAAGCGUGCCGUGAAAUGUACCGGCUCAACCGGUGAGUUGCGGCGCGAACUGGCUUUCUUGAGUGCGUACGAGGAAGGCGGAAUUCGUGGUGUAGCGGUGAAAUGCUUAGAUAUCACGAAGAACUCCGAUUGCGCAGGCAGCCUUCCAGUCCGUUACUGACGCUAAAGCUCGAAGGUGCGGGUA
This 580-nucleotide ribosomal RNA is filed under the name uncultured rumen bacterium. RNAcentral describes it as "bacterial SSU rRNA". It matches the Rfam family "Bacterial small subunit ribosomal RNA", at positions 189 to 767 of the family's 1533-position model. The record is from RNAcentral.